This 230-nucleotide ribosomal RNA is filed under the name uncultured bacterium. Its description in RNAcentral is "partial 16S ribosomal RNA". It matches the Rfam family "Bacterial small subunit ribosomal RNA", at positions 562 to 791 of the family's 1533-position model. The record is from RNAcentral.
AAAGGGUGUGUAGGCGGCCAUGUAAGUCAGUUGUGAAAGCCCCGGGCUCAACCCGGGAAGUGCUUCUGAUACUGCUUGGCUUGAGUAUUGGAUAGGUGAGUGGAAUUCCAGGUGUAGUGGUGAAAUACGUAGAUAUCUGGAGGAACACCGGCGGCGAAGGCGGCUCACUGGCCAUAUACUGACGCUGAAACACGAAAGCGUGGGUAGCAAACAGGAUUAGAUACCCCUGU